This 423-nucleotide ribosomal RNA is filed under the name uncultured Glomeromycotina. Its description in RNAcentral is "SSU rRNA". It matches the Rfam family "Eukaryotic small subunit ribosomal RNA", at positions 671 to 1092 of the family's 1831-position model. Lineage: Eukaryota; Fungi; Glomeromycota. The record is from RNAcentral.
CGGUACGUACUGGCAUUGUUGGUUUCUCCCUUCUGACGAACCAUGAUGUCAUUUAUUUGGUGUUGUGGGGAAUCAGGACUGUUACUUUGAAAAAAUUAGAGUGUUUAAAGCAGGCUCACGCUUGAAUACAUUAGCAUGGAAUAAUGAAAUAGGACGUUUGAUUCUAUUUUGUUGGUUUCUAGGAUCGACGUAAUGAUUAAUAGGGAUAGUUGGGGGCAUUAGUAUUCAAUUGUCAGAGGUGAAAUUCUUGGAUAUAUUGAAGACUAACUACUGCGAAAGCAUUUGCCAAGGAUGUUUUCAUUAAUCAAGAACGAAAGUUAGGGGAUCGAAGACGAUCAGAUACCGUCGUAGUCUUAACCAUAAACUAUGCCGACUAGGGAUCGGAUGAUGUUAAUUUUUUAAUGACUCAUUCGGCGCCUUACG